GACAGAGGGGGCAAACGUUGCUCGGAAUCACUGGGCGUAAAGGGCGUGUAGGCGGGAAGGUUAGUCAGAUGUGAAAGCCCUGGGCUCAACCCAGGAACUGCAUUUGAAACUCCCUUUCUUGAGUGUCGGAGAGGAAAGCGGAAUUCCUGGUGUAGAGGUGAAAUUCGUAGAUAUCAGGAGGAACACCGGUGGCGAAGGCGGCUUUCUGGACGACAACUGACGCUGAGACGCGAAAGCGUGGGGAGCAAACAGG
This 253-nucleotide ribosomal RNA is filed under the name uncultured bacterium. Its description in RNAcentral is "partial 16S ribosomal RNA". It matches the Rfam family "Bacterial small subunit ribosomal RNA", at positions 524 to 776 of the family's 1533-position model. The record is from RNAcentral.